AUAAAGAUUUUAAAGCUUUCAGCAAUUUCAUUGUUAAUGAAUAGAAGUUUUUUU
RNAcentral lists this transfer RNA (54 nucleotides) under Pirata subpiraticus. Its description in RNAcentral is "tRNA-Asn". Lineage: Eukaryota; Metazoa; Arthropoda; Arachnida; Araneae; Lycosidae. The record is from RNAcentral.